AGCAGCCGCGGUAAUUCCAGCUCCAAUAGCGUAUAUUAAAGUUGUUGCAGUUAAAAAGCUCGUAGUUGAAUUUCGAGACCGGUCUACUGGUCGUGCUUUUGUACGUUCUGGUAUAAUCGGUUUCUCUCUUCUGACGAACUAUAAUGCCAUUAAUUUGGUGUUUUAGGGAAUCAGGACUGUUACUUUGAAAAAAUUAGAGUGUUUAAAGCAGGCUCACGCUUGAAUACAUUAGCAUGGAAUAACGAAAUAGGACGUUUGAUUCUAUUUUGUUGGUUUCUAGGAUCGACGUAAUGAUUAAUAGGGAUAGUUGGGGGCAUUAGUAUUCAAUUGUCAGAGGUGAAAUUCUUGGAUUUAUUGAAGACUAACUACUGCGAAAGCAUUUGCCAAGGAUGUUUUCAUUAAUCAAGAACGAAAGUUAGGGGAUCGAAGACGAUCAGAUACCGUCGUAGUCUUAACCAUAAAUUAUGCCGACUAGGGAUCGGAUGAUGUUAAAUUAAUGACUCAUUCGGCACCUUACG
RNAcentral lists this ribosomal RNA (518 nucleotides) under uncultured Glomeraceae. Its description in RNAcentral is "SSU rRNA". It matches the Rfam family "Eukaryotic small subunit ribosomal RNA", at positions 569 to 1092 of the family's 1831-position model. The record is from RNAcentral. Lineage: Eukaryota; Fungi; Glomeromycota; Glomeromycetes; Glomerales; Glomeraceae.